This 1495-nucleotide long non-coding RNA is filed under the name Mytilus galloprovincialis (Mediterranean mussel). Lineage: Eukaryota; Metazoa; Mollusca; Bivalvia; Mytilida; Mytilidae. The record is from RNAcentral.
CACAAAAAUAAUUUAUUGACAAUAUAAGAACAAAAUAAUAUCAGAUGAAAAUAAAGACAAAUUUGACUAUAUAAAGAGAUAUAAACGAAUACAUAGAAAUAUAACAGAUCUACUAUCCAGUAUAACAAUUUUAACAACCAACAAUAUUCUCCUCUAGGAGACAUAAUGGAAUCACCAGAGAUGACUUUUAAAAAUUUCUGACAUUGUACAAAAAAAAAAUGCAGGUUUGACCAGCAUACUGCAAUAAACCUUUGAAUGAAUAUUUCAGACCUAUUAAAUAAACAGUAAAACAUUGUGUUGACAUAAAUCAUAAAUAAGAUUGUUUUUAAAAAAAAAACAACGUUGAACCCAAUUGUAAUUGAUUUUGAAAAAAGUUAACAAUAUAAUUUUUUUUUCUUCAUAACUAAAGGCAUUUUUUCAUUUUAUGUAAUAGUAAUUUUAUAUAUAAUGGUAAACUCUUGUGAUUUCCUCAUAAAAAAGGUCUAACAUAAUUAUAUUUUGCAUGUUCAAUAAUUUUGAAACAUGGUAACAAUUGAAAUCAAUCGUGCAAAUAUCUACAGAAUUAAUAAAAAGGACAACAACUAUACUAAUUCAUUAAAGCUCAGAUCUAUAACAAUAAUAGAGGUAAUGUUUUAUUGCUUAUAACAUUGUCAAAUAAAAUAUAACUAAACUACAUAGGCUGGCAAAUAAUAGAGAGAACAACAAUUGUUUUCGAACUCAAUAUUGAUAGAAAUUAGUGAACUCCUUAAUUAGCCAGACAAACAUGAAAGAAAAAUAAUGAAUUUCAUCUUGGCUGAUGAUGAAUACAUAUUAAAACGGUAUUGAAAAAUGCUAAUGGGAGGUAACUCAAUAAAAUAAAAUAAAUUAUGGUAAAUACAUAGUAAAACCAAAUACAGGACACAUACAGUUAAGUUUAAUAAUAACUAUGGAAUUUUUCGAUAUAUAAUAUCAAUGUCAUGGGGGAAAUAUGUGACAAUAUAAAAAUACUGGUGUAUAAAAUAGCACUAAUAUCAAAUCCCUUUUCACCAACUAAUGUAUCACAGUUUUAACAAAUUUGAUGAAACCAACUACAGAAUUACCAAAUAGAAUGAUUAAGGCAUACUUUAUAAUUUUGUAUCAGAUGGUGUUCUAAUUUCAUACAAAACAAUACUGAAUUACAAAUUAAAUAAUUUAUGCAGAGAACAUCUUGAUAUAAGUUAAAGGGAGUUAAUACACUUUUAAGGGAGAUAAUCAUUAACACCAACUGAGAUUUUAAUAAAUUUCAAAGCUUGUAUAUAAUUAGUUACUACCCGUCUUUUAAAGAAGCACACUGUUUUUAAGAUCUCCAUAUGUUAGGGACUUUUGACAGUAACAGCCAAUUUGAUGCAUAUUUUUAGAUAUUAUAAAGUAGAUGUAGUAAAGAUUCUAAUUUGUAUGGUAUGAAGUCAUGGACAAAAUAGAUAAAAGUUGUGAAAUUGCAGCAAAAUUGCAUAUCAAAUUGUGUAUAUUAUUCAUA